RNAcentral lists this small RNA (742 nucleotides) under Pongo abelii (Sumatran orangutan). RNAcentral's name for it is "processed transcript". Lineage: Eukaryota; Metazoa; Chordata; Mammalia; Primates; Hominidae. The record is from RNAcentral.
CCGAGACAAACGCUUCCAGCAAUUCAUCCGGAAAGUGACCCGCUCCGCCGUGCUCAAGCGGUACGGGGUACAGGAGUGCAUCCUGCUGGUGACUCAGCGCAUCACCAAGUACCCGGUACUCAUCAGCCGCAUCCUGCAGCAUUCCCACGGGAUCGAGGAGGAGCGCCAGGACCUGACCACAGCACUGGGGUUAGUGAAGGAGCUACUGUCCAAUGUGGACCAGGAUAUUUAUGACCUGGAGAAAGGGGCCCGUCUGCAGGAGAUCUACAACCGCAUGGACCCUCGGGCCCAAACCCCAGUGCCUGGCAAGGGCCCCUUUGGCCGAGAGGAACUUCUGCGGCGCAGACUCAUCCACGAUGGCUGCCUGCUCUGGAAGACAGCGACAGGGCGCUUCAAAGAUGUGCUAGUGCUGCUGAUGACAGAUGUACUGGUGUUUCUCCAGGAAAAGGACCAGAAGUACAUCUUUCCUACCCUGGACAAGCCCUCAGUGGUAUCGCUGCAGAAUCUAAUCGUACGGGACAUUGCCAACCAGGAGAAAGGGAUGUUUCUCAUCAGCGCAGCCCCACCUGAGAUGUACGAGGUGUACACAGCAUCCCGGGAUGACCGGAGCACCUGGAUCCGGGUCAUUCAGCAGAGCGUGCGCUUUGGAGUUGCAGCAGAAGGACCGGGCACUGGUGGAGCUGCUGCGAGAGAAGGUCGGGCUGUUUGCUGAGAUGACCCAUUUCCAGGCCGAAGAGGAUGG